CGAAGGUGCAAGCGUUACUCGGAAUUACUGGGCGUAAAGCGUGCGUAGGUGGUGGUUUAAGUCUGUUGUGAAAGCCCUGGGCUCAACCUGGGAAUUGCAAUGGAUACUGGGUCACUAGAGUGUGGUAGAGGGUAGCGGAAUUCCCGGUGUAGCAGUGAAAUGCGUAGAGAUCGGGAGGAACAUCCGUGGCGAAGGCGGCUACCUGGACCAACACUGACACUGAGGCACGAAAGCGUGGGGAGCAAACAGGAUU
Molecule: ribosomal RNA, 253 nt
Filed under: uncultured bacterium
Lineage: Bacteria
Description: partial 16S ribosomal RNA
Rfam family: Bacterial small subunit ribosomal RNA
Source: RNAcentral